GACGAACGCUGGCGGCGUGCUUAACACAUGCAAGUCGAACGGAAAGGCCCUGCUUUUGUGGGGUGCUCGAGUGGCGAACGGGUGAGUAACACGUGAGUAACCUGCCCUUGACUUUGGGAUAACUUCAGGAAACUGGGGCUAAUACCGGAUAGGAGCUCCUGCUGCAUGGUGGGGGUUGGAAAGUUUCGGCGGUUGGGGAUGGACUCGCGGCUUAUCAGCUUGUUGGUGGGGUAGUGGCUUACCAAGGCUUUGACGGGUAGCCGGCCUGUGAGGGUGACCGGCCACAUUGGGACUGAGAUACGGCCCAGACUGCUACGGGAGGCAGCAGUGGGGAAUAUUGCACAAUGGGCGGAAGCCUGAUGCAGCAACGCCGCGUGCGGGAUGACGGCCUUCGGGUUGUAAACCGCUUUCGCCUGUGACGAAGCGUGAGUGACGGUAAUGGGUAAAGAGGCACCGGCUAACUACGUG
RNAcentral lists this ribosomal RNA (468 nucleotides) under uncultured bacterium. RNAcentral's name for it is "partial 16S ribosomal RNA". It matches the Rfam family "Bacterial small subunit ribosomal RNA", at positions 28 to 507 of the family's 1533-position model. The record is from RNAcentral.